This 25-nucleotide small nuclear RNA is filed under the name Arabidopsis thaliana (thale cress). RNAcentral describes it as "snRNA_03227". Lineage: Eukaryota; Viridiplantae; Streptophyta; Magnoliopsida; Brassicales; Brassicaceae. The record is from RNAcentral.
AGUCAGAGAUGUUAAAUAUGCCUCA